ACACAUGCAAGUCGAACGGAAGUUAGAGCUUCGGUUUUAACUUUAGUGGCGAACGGGCGAGUAACGCGUGAGGAACCUGCCUUUCAGUGGGGGACAACAGUUGGAAACGACUGCUAAUACCGCAUGAUGCUUUUGGGAGACAUCUCCUGGAAGCCAAAGCUUUAUGUGCUGAAAGAUGGCCUCGCGUCUGAUUAGCUAGUUGGUGAGGUAACGGCUCACCAAGGCGACGAUCAGUAGCCGGUCUGAGAGGAUGAACGGCCACAUUGGGACUGAGAUACGGCCCAGACUCCUACGGGAGGCAGCAGUGGGGAAUAUUGGGCAAUGGGGGAAACCCUGACCCAGCAACGCCGCGUGAAGGAAGAAGGCCUUCGGGUUGUAAACUUCUUUUACCAGGGACGAAGGACGUGACGGUACCUGGAGAAAAAGCAACGGCUAACUACGUGCCAGCAGCCGCGGUAAUACGUAGGUUGCAAGCGUUGUCCGGAUUUACUGGGUGUAAAGGGCGUGUAGGCGGAGAUGCAAGUUGGGAGUGAAAUCCAUGGGCUCAACCCAUGAACUGCUCUCAAAACUGUAUCCCUUGAGUAUCGGAGAGGCAAGCGGAAUUCCUAGUGUAGCGGUGAAAUGCGUAGAUAUUAGGAGGAACACCAGUGGCGAAGGCGGCUUGCUGGACGACAACUGACGCUGAGGCGCGAAAGCGUGGGGAGCAAACAGGAUUAGAUACCCUGGUAGUCCACGCUGUAAACGAUGAAUACUAGGUGUGGGAGGACUGACCCCUUCCGUGCCGCAGUUAACACAAUAAGUAUUCCACCUGGGGAGUACGACCGCA
This 826-nucleotide ribosomal RNA is filed under the name uncultured bacterium. RNAcentral describes it as "bacterial SSU rRNA". It matches the Rfam family "Bacterial small subunit ribosomal RNA", at positions 51 to 890 of the family's 1533-position model. The record is from RNAcentral.